CAGGCGGUUUCUUAAGUCUGAUGUGAAAGCCCCCGGCUCAACCGGGGAGGGUCAUUGGAAACUGGGGAACUUGAGUGCAGAAGAGGAGAGUGGAAUUCCACGUGUAGCGGUGAAAUGCGAUAGAGAUGUGGAGGAACACCAGUGGCGAAGGCGACUCUCUGGUCUGUAACUGACGCUGAGGAGCGAAAGCGUGGGGAGCGAACAGGAUUAGAUACCCUGGUAGUCCACGCCGUAAACGAUGAGUGCUAAGUGUUAGGGGGUUUCCGCCCCUUAGUGCUGCAGCUAACGCAUUAAGCACUCCGCCUGGGGAGUACGGUCGCAAGACUGAAACUCAAAGGAAUUGACGGGGGCCCGCACAAGCGGUGGAGCAUGUGGUUUAAUUCGAAGCAACGCGAAGAACCUUACCAGGUCUUGACAUCCUCUGACAAUCCUAGAGAUAGGACGUCCCCUUCGGGGGCAGAGUGACAGGUGGUGCAUGGUUGUCGUCAGCUCGUGUCGUGAGAUGUUGGGUUAAGUCCCGCAACGAGCGCAACCCUUGAUCUUAGUUGCCAGCAUUCAGUUGGGCACUCUAAGGUGACUGCCGGUGACAAACCGGAGGAAGGUGGGGAUGACGUCAAAUCAUCAUGCCCCUUAUGACCUGGGCUACACACGUGCUACAAUGGACAGAACAAAGGGCAGCGAAACCGCGAGGUUAAGCCAAUCCCACAAAUCUGUUCUCAGUUCGGAUCGCAGUCUGCAACUCGACUGCGUGAAGCUGGAAUCGCUA
Molecule: ribosomal RNA, 766 nt
Filed under: Bacillus sp. STR22
Lineage: Bacteria; Bacillati; Bacillota; Bacilli; Caryophanales; Bacillaceae
Description: bacterial SSU rRNA
Rfam family: Bacterial small subunit ribosomal RNA
Source: RNAcentral